CAGUCGCCGCGGGAAUACGUAGGGUGCAAGCGUUAUCCGGAAUUAUUGGGCGUAAAGAGCUCGUAGGCGGUCUGUCGCGUCUGCUGUGAAAACUGGGGGCUCAACCCCCAGCCUGCAGUGGGUACGGGCAGACUAGAGUGCGGUAGGGGAGAUUGGAAUUCCUGGUGUAGCGGUGGAAUGCGCAGAUAUCAGGAGGAACACCGAUGGCGAAGGCAGAUCUCUGGGCCGUAACUGACGCUGAGGAGCGAAAGCAUGGGGAGCGAACAGGAUUAGAUACCCGCGUAGUCCCUGUCUCUUAUAC
RNAcentral lists this ribosomal RNA (301 nucleotides) under uncultured bacterium. RNAcentral describes it as "partial 16S ribosomal RNA". It matches the Rfam family "Bacterial small subunit ribosomal RNA", at positions 509 to 807 of the family's 1533-position model. The record is from RNAcentral.